RNAcentral lists this ribosomal RNA (468 nucleotides) under uncultured bacterium. RNAcentral describes it as "partial 16S ribosomal RNA". It matches the Rfam family "Bacterial small subunit ribosomal RNA", at positions 28 to 507 of the family's 1533-position model. The record is from RNAcentral.
GACGAACGCUGGCGGCGUGCUUAACACAUGCAAGUCGAACGGAAAGGCCCUGCUUUUGUGGGGUGCUCGAGUGGCGAACGGGUGAGUAACACGUGAGUAACCUGCCCUUGACUUUGGGAUAACUUCAGGAAACUGGGGCUAAUACCGGAUAGGAGCUCCUGCUGCAUGGUGGGGGUUGGAAAGUUUCGGCGGUUGGGGAUGGACUCGCGGCUUAUCAGCUUGUUGGUGGGGUAGUGGCUUACCAAGGCUUUGACGGGUAGCCGGCCUGAGAGGGUGACCGGCCAAAAUUGGAAUUAGAAAAGGCCCAGAAUCCUAAGGGAGGCAGGAGUGGGGAAUAUUGCACAAUGGGCGGAAGCCUGAUGCAGCAACGCCGCGUGCGGGAUGACGGCCUUCGGGUUGUAAACCGCUUUCGCCUGUGACGAAGCGUGAGUGACGGUAAUGGGUAAAGAAGCACCGGCUAACUACGUG